GGUCCCAUCUCCACAGCAACCCUUUGUGUUUUCAGUGAGCAGUUUGUGAGUUUUGGCAUUGAGUGCCUUCUUCCCCUGUUCCAGCCUCCUCCUGCCAUCCGGAUGGAACGAACAGGCAGGAGGACAUUAUUGAGGGACAGAGAUAAUAGUUGGAGGCAGGAGAGAUUGGAUGGCGCAGCAGUCGGGGACGAGAAGAAUGGAGGCAGAAACUGGGAGCAGUGUUUGCGGUCUUUGGAUCCUGACAGCUCACACAUUCCUCUUCGGCAGACAGGUGGUGGGUUGUUUAAUAAAUAGAGGAUUUGGUGGUGGUUGGAGCGGGUUAGUGAUGGAGGGCAGGAGUCAAAGGCCUUCGUAGAUUGUAAACAUCAGAGCCGAGCAGUCAUAAUACAGCUAUUUUCCUUCAGUGGAGGCAAAACCUGGACUCUGCUCCUUGUUAAUGACUCACUCAUUCAUCUGAGGUGCUGCUCACUGCUGUACCACAGUUUGCUCAUUGAGCCAUGAGCAUAAACUGGUGACUCUUCGUUCUUGUUUUGGCAAGUAGAUCGGUUAGAGGUAACAGAAAACCCUUGGUGCAUCACUUCAAGUCCAAGAUUCUUUACUUUUCUGUCAUGCUUCAGAUCUGCUGCUUGGAUUUAGAUCAUUGUCUUCCAGCUUCCCCCCAUUUUCACAUCCAGCUUCAUUAUCCGGCAGAUAACCUCAGGUUCACCUCCAUAACACUCUGAUAACCUCAAGACUUCAGGAUCAGUUUGGAGCCUCCAAGGUAUCCAGAUCCAGUGGUUUGCACAAAAAAAGGCCACAUCUUCAAUCCUCCUCUGUCAUGCUUCAGAGUAUAAAUGAUGUAUUUCUGUUCCAGUGUUAUUAGUUUUUACUUCAAUGUUAGCAGGUUGGUCCUAUCAAUGAUUUAAAAUACUUUUUUUGAUUUUGUGAUUUGUUCACAGCUACUUUUUCUAUAAAACAAAAAAACAACUUGUAUUUCCCCUGGCGACGCUGCCUUACAAUUGAAGUAAAAUGUUGAAAAAAGUGAAUUUUUGGAAAUGCUUUUAUGAUACUUUCUAGGUUUAUGUGAAGAAACUUUUGCUUAUCCAGUGUCUUUUUCUCUUGCCAAAUAUAAUCUGGAUCAGCAAACUUUUGACUUUUGACUCGAAAUCUGCCUUUAAAUUUCCUACCAGCUAAUAAAUGUAUCAGAGGCUGAUUAUUGGCAACUGCUGUGGUUUUUUCCCCCAUAUAUCCUGAUAAAAGUUAUUGUUAAACUUGUUUUUUCAAAUAAACCUGUGUAAAAUAAUGAAUUGCAAUAUAGUUUUUCUGUUGUUGCAGAUAAAUGUCAUGUUUGACUGUGGAAAAAACGAUAAAGA
This is a non-coding RNA of Oryzias latipes (Japanese medaka), 1352 nucleotides long. The record is from RefSeq and is a predicted model, not a curated record. Lineage: Eukaryota; Metazoa; Chordata; Actinopteri; Beloniformes; Adrianichthyidae.